UUUCCCUCUCUCCUCCCAAGUCCGACCCACAAACCUUAAACACCCCACCAGAUGGUGAAAGAGAGAGAAAAUGAAAGAGAAAGAGGGUUAGGGUUGAACAUUGAUGAAGAUGAAGAUGAAGAUGAAGAUGAAGAUGAAGAUGACGAUGAUAAUGACAAUGAUGACAAUGAAGGAGGUGCUCGUGUUGGUCUUUUGCACCAGAAUUUGACCUCUGCUAGUACUGCACUUCAUGGUUUGCUUCGAAAGCUCGGUACUGGACUCGAUGAUUUGAUCCCUUCGUUUAUUUUACCGCUAGCGAAACCAGCAGUUUUCUGCAGUCACGCAUAAGAAAAGUGCCGGCGUUAAUAGAUGUCUUCGCAAAUAUUAAUUAGGCGACGACAACAGAGGAAAGAUGACUUCCAGCUCAUCAAGCACCAAGCACCACUCUGUAAUAUGCUUUUCAAUGGGCCCCCAGGACAGGAAAAACAAUGGUGGCACGAGAGCUAGCUCAGAAACAUGCUACCACCACCACCAGAGCUGCCGCUGCCACCACCACCAGCGUUGCCGCUGCCACCACCACCAUCACAAGAACGUCGGCGCCGCCACCAUGACCAAUGCUUGAGAUUUCAAUUUUCACCCUCCCACCUUCACGCCAUCACCAGGGUAUAUACGCCAUCACCUUCACUAGUCUGCCAUCACCAUCCCACCUUCACAGCAUCAUCACCAUCCCACCUUCACAGCAUCAUCACCUUCAUGCCAUCGCUCGAUUUUUUAAAAAAAAAAAGAAAGAAAGAGGGAGGUGUCUGCGAUGGACGCCCCACCACCGAGGUAGGCGUCCAUGGCAGGUGUUCUACCACAGGA
Beta vulgaris subsp. vulgaris (sugar beet) is the source of this 840-nucleotide long non-coding RNA. RefSeq lists it as uncharacterized. The transcript has 3 exons. Lineage: Eukaryota; Viridiplantae; Streptophyta; Magnoliopsida; Caryophyllales; Amaranthaceae. The record is from RefSeq and is a predicted model, not a curated record.